AAUAUUGCACAAUGGAGGAAACUCUGAUGCAGCGACGCCGCGUGAACGAUGAAGGCUUUCGGGUUGUAAAGCUCUUUCGGACGGAAAGAAAUCGCGCAGGCUAAUACCCUGCGCGGAUGACGGUACCGUCAUAAGAAGCACCGGCUAACUACGUGCCAGCAGCCGCGGUAAUACGUAGGGUGCGAGCGUUAAUCGGAAUUACUGGGCGUAAAGCGUGCGCAGGCGGUUGAUUAAGACAGGCGUGAAAUCCCCGGGCUUAACCUGGGAACUGCGCUUGUGACUGGUCAGCUAGAGUACGGCAGAGGGGGGUGGAAUUCCACGUGUAGCAGUGAAAUGCGUAGAGAUGUGGAGGAACACCGAUGGCGAAGGCAGCCCCCUGGGCCGAUACUGACGCUCAUGCACGAAAGCGUGGGUAGCAAACAGG
RNAcentral lists this ribosomal RNA (424 nucleotides) under uncultured bacterium. Its description in RNAcentral is "partial 16S ribosomal RNA". It matches the Rfam family "Bacterial small subunit ribosomal RNA", at positions 360 to 776 of the family's 1533-position model. The record is from RNAcentral.